UACGAAGGGGGCUAGCGUUGCUCGGAAUCACUGGGCGUAAAGCGCACGUAGGCGGCUUUUUAAGUCAGGGGUGAAAUCCUGGAGCUCAACUCCAGAACUGCCUUUGAUACUGAGAAGCUUGAGUCCGGGAGAGGUGAGUGGAACUGCGAGUGUAGAGGUGAAAUUCGUAGAUAUUCGCAAGAACACCAGUGGCGAAGGCGGCUCACUGGCCCGGUACUGACGCUGAGGCGCGAAAGCGUGGGGAGCGAACAGG
RNAcentral lists this ribosomal RNA (253 nucleotides) under uncultured bacterium. RNAcentral's name for it is "partial 16S ribosomal RNA". It matches the Rfam family "Bacterial small subunit ribosomal RNA", at positions 524 to 776 of the family's 1533-position model. The record is from RNAcentral.